AUGAUGGAUACGGCUGUGGAGGUUUCCCGACGGGUCCGUCCCGAGAAGAAACUAUGCGCUGAUGCCGAUGGCGAGACACGCCAGUGUCCCCGGACAACAACGGCGGCCGUGGACCCUGUCUCCAAGGUGCUUGGGGACGACAAUCUCCUCGGGGAGAUCCUCCUGCGCGUCGGCUUCCCCACCACACUCGUCCGUGCCACCCUCGUGCGCAGGGGCUGGUACCAGCUCGCCUCGGACCGGGGUUUCCUCUGCCGGUUCCGUGAGCUCCACCCGCCCCGCCUACUUGGCUUUUACAUCGACACCGGGUUGGUCUGGCCGAAGUCGAUGGCCGUCCUGCGCUUCGUCCCGAUGCUUCCCCAGCCCCCAGAGUUUGCCGCUGUUGUCCGCCGCAUGGCGAGCCACAACUUCGGUACCCGCGAGGUGCCAUGGAUCAUGGACUCCCGAAACGGCAGCAUCUUCACCAGACAUCGUGAAAGAAGAGAACUAUCAUAUGGAGUGUACCACCCGCUUUGUCCUGAGAGAGGCAUUGACGACAUCCCACCACUCCCAAGUGCCCAGGAUCGCAAUCGCCUAAAUUUUGGUGCUAUUCUCUCGAAAGAAGAAGGCAAUGGCUUGUCCUACUUUUAUGUGUUGACGGAGUUGACUAAUCAGACAGAAAAUUUCACUUUACGCGUGUAUAUGUUACAAGGCAGUGUUUGGUGCUUGCAUACCUCGGCCACGGCCCAGCUCCAUCUUCCGCUACCCAAAGCAAAAGUUGUGCUUGUCGACAAUAAAAUCUAUAUGGUGGUCUCCCCCGCAGACGACAUUAUUGUCUUGGAUUUGACAGCCUCAAGUUUGUCUAGAAUCCAGCACCCACCUGGAGUGAAGUAUGACUGUUUUCACACCUUCUUGUCAUGGGCAGAUGAUCCUUCCGGUGUAUAUGUCAUCCAUGUCAAUGGCUUUAAACUUUGCAUCUGGCUCCACAAGGGGGACAACUGGUUGCUGGUUGAUACCAUUUGUCUGCAUGAGAUGUGUGUUAAUCUGAGGAUGCUAGAUAACAUGCUUGAGGAUGAGCAUUCUGGUCAUUGCUAUGUAUGCCAUGCUGGGGAUAAUGCUGAGUUUGUGGUUUUGCAAAUGUGUGGAUGUGUUUUCUAUCUGAUGUCAAGAACAGGACACUCCGUAAAUUGGUUGCGAAGGAUCAAGAUCACUUCACUGAUGUCUAUCCGUUUAUGA
Molecule: ribosomal RNA, 1212 nt
Filed under: Triticum aestivum (bread wheat)
Lineage: Eukaryota; Viridiplantae; Streptophyta; Magnoliopsida; Poales; Poaceae
Description: partial small subunit ribosomal RNA
Source: RNAcentral